Molecule: transfer RNA, 73 nt
Filed under: Caldifarciminota bacterium JGI_Cruoil_03_51_56
Lineage: Bacteria; Pseudomonadati; Caldifarciminota
Description: tRNA-Thr
Rfam family: tRNA
About the family: Transfer RNA (tRNA) molecules are approximately 80 nucleotides in length.
Source: RNAcentral
GCCGGCGUGGCUCAGUCGGCAGAGCAGCGGUUUCGUAAACCGCAGGUCGUCGGUUCGACUCCGACCGCCGGCU